RNAcentral lists this ribosomal RNA (207 nucleotides) under uncultured delta proteobacterium. RNAcentral describes it as "partial 16S ribosomal RNA". It matches the Rfam family "Bacterial small subunit ribosomal RNA", at positions 568 to 774 of the family's 1533-position model. The record is from RNAcentral. Lineage: Bacteria; Deltaproteobacteria.
CGCGUAGGCGGCCGAACAGGUCAGGUGUGAAAGCCCGGGGCUUAACCCCGGAAGUGCAUUUGAAACCUUUUGGCUUGAGUAUGGGAGAGGAGAGCGGAAUUCCUGGUGUAGAGGUGAAAUUCGUAGAUAUCAGGAGGAACACCGGUGGCGAAGGCGGCUCUCUGGACCAAUACUGACGCUGAGGCGCGAAGGCGUGGGUAGCAAACA